GAUGAACGCUAGCUACAGGCUUAACACAUGCAAGUCGCGGGGCAGCAUGACAUCAGCUUGCUGAUGUUGAUGGCGACCGGCGCACGGGUGAGUAACGCGUAUCCAACCUGCCCUUUACUAUGGGACAGCCCGUCGAAAGGCGGAUUAAUACCGUAUGUUGUCAUGUUGAUGCAUAUUUUCAUGACCAAAGGCUUCGGCCGGUAAAGGAUGGGGAUGCGUCUGAUUAGCGUGCCGGCGGGGUAACGGCCCACCGGGGCGACGAUCAGUAGGGGUUCUGAGAGGAAGGUCCCCCACACUGGUACUGAGACACGGACCAG
RNAcentral lists this ribosomal RNA (317 nucleotides) under uncultured bacterium. RNAcentral describes it as "bacterial SSU rRNA". It matches the Rfam family "Bacterial small subunit ribosomal RNA", at positions 28 to 334 of the family's 1533-position model. The record is from RNAcentral.